CGGAGGAAAAGAAACCACCAGGGAUUGCCCCAGUAACGGCGAGUGAAGCGGCAACAGCUCAAAUUUGAAAUCUGGUCCCCAGGGCCCGAGUUGUAAUUUGCAGAGGAUGCUUUUGGUGAGGUGCCUUCCGAGUUCCCUGGAACGGGACGCCAUAGAGGGUGAGAGCCCCGUCUGGUUGGAUACCGAGCCUCUGUAAAGCUCCUUCGACGAGUCGAGUAGUUUGGGAAUGCUGCUCUAAAUGGGAGGUAUAUGUCUUCUAAAGCUAAAUAUUGGCCAGAGACCGAUAGCGCACAAGUAGAGUGAUCGAAAGAUGAAAAGCACUUUGAAAAGAGGGUUAAAUAGUACGUGAAAUUGUUGAAAGGGAAGCACUUAUGACCAGACUUGGCCCCGGUGAAUCAUCCAGCGGUUCCCGUUGGUGCACUUUGCCGGGGUUCAGGCCAGCAUCAGUUCGCUCCGGGGGAUAAAGGCUUUGGGAAUGUGGCUCCCUCGGGAGUGUUAUAGCCCAUUGCGCAAUACCCUGUGGCGGGCUGAGGUUCGCGCUUUAUGCAAGGAUGCUGGCAUAAUGGUCAUCAGUGACCCGUCUUGAAACACGGACCAAGGAGUCGUCUUCGUAUGCGAGUGUUCGGGUGUUAAACCCCUACGCGUAAUGAAAGUGAACGCAGGUGAGAGCCCUCCAGGGCGCAUCAUCGACCGAUCCUGAUGUUCUCGGAUGGAUUUGAGUAAGAGCAUACGGGGCCGGACCCGAAAGAAGGUGAACUAUGCCUGUAUAGGGUGAAGCCAGAGGAAACUCUGGUGGAGGCUCGCAGCGGUUCUGACGUGCAAAUCGAUCGUCAAAUAUGGGCAUGGGGGCGAAAGACUAAUCGAA
This 865-nucleotide ribosomal RNA is filed under the name Metarhizium anisopliae. RNAcentral's name for it is "partial large subunit ribosomal RNA". It matches the Rfam family "Eukaryotic large subunit ribosomal RNA", at positions 51 to 939 of the family's 3401-position model. Lineage: Eukaryota; Fungi; Ascomycota; Sordariomycetes; Hypocreales; Clavicipitaceae. The record is from RNAcentral.